RNAcentral lists this ribosomal RNA (496 nucleotides) under uncultured bacterium. RNAcentral describes it as "partial 16S ribosomal RNA". It matches the Rfam family "Bacterial small subunit ribosomal RNA", at positions 28 to 506 of the family's 1533-position model. The record is from RNAcentral.
GAUGAACGCUGGCGGCGUGCCUAAUACAUGCAAGUCGAGCGAACAGAUGAGGAGCUUGCUCCUCUGACGUUAGCGGCGGACGGGUGAGUAACACGUGGAUAACCUACCUAUAAGACUGGGAUAACUUCGGGAAACCGGAGCUAAUACCGGAUAAUAUAUUGAACCGCAUGGUUCAAUAGUGAAAGACGGUUUUGCUGUCACUUAUAGAUGGAUCCGCGCCGCAUUAGCUAGUUGGUAAGGUAACGGCUUACCAAGGCAACGAUGCGUAGCCGACCUGAGAGGGUGAUCGGCCACACUGGAACUGGGACACGGUCCAGACUCCGACGGGAGGCAGCAGUAGGGAAUCUUCCGCAAUGGGCGAAAGCCUGACGGAGCAACGCCGCGUGAGUGAUGAAGGGCUUCGGAUCGUAAAACUCUGUUAUUAGGGAAGAACAAAUGUGUAAGUAACUAUGCACGUCUGGACGGUACCUAAUCAGAAAGCCACGGCUAACUACGU